UGGGGAAUAUUGCACAAUGGGCGAAAGCCUGAUGCAGCAACGCCGCGUGAGUGAUGAAGGCCUUCGGGUUGUAAAGCUCUGUCUUUUGGGACGAUAAUGACGGUACCAAAGGAGGAAGCCACGGCUAACUACGUGCCAGCAGCCGCGGUAAUACGUAGGUGGCAAGCGUUGUCCGGAUUUACUGGGCGUAAAGGAUGCGUAGGCGGAUUUUUAAGUGAGAUGUGAAAUACCCGGGCUUAACUUGGGUGCUGCAUUUCAAACUGGGAAUCUAGAGUGCGGGAGAGGAGAAUGGAAUUCCUAGUGUAGCGGUGAAAUACGUAGAGAUUAGGAAGAACACCAGUGGCGAAGGCGAUUCUCUGGACCGUAACUGACGCUGAGGCAUGAAAGCGUGGGUAGCAAACAGGAUUAGAUACCCUGGUAGUCCACGCCGUAAACGAUGAGUACUAGGUGUAGGAGGUAUCGACCCCUUCUGUGCCGCAGUUAACACAAUAAGUACUCCGCCUGGGAAGUACGAUCGCAAGAUUAAAACUCAAAUGAAUUGACGGGGUC
RNAcentral lists this ribosomal RNA (549 nucleotides) under uncultured bacterium. RNAcentral describes it as "partial 16S ribosomal RNA". It matches the Rfam family "Bacterial small subunit ribosomal RNA", at positions 355 to 920 of the family's 1533-position model. The record is from RNAcentral.